GAAACAUCUUGCUCUAGAAAUGGAAGAGGCAUAAGCACUUACAGAGAAGAAUUGCAAAAGACUGUCAAAAUUAUUUAAAGGAAUAAGCAUUGCACUAGGUGCUAAGAAUAACAUGGUGAACAAAAAGACAAAAUACUUGUCCCCAUGGAUUCUAUAAUCUAAUGGAGAAGACAGAUAAUAAGAUCAUGGCAUAACUGAAGUUACUAAGAUACAGCCGUGAAGUUUCCUGGUCUGUAAAAUGGAUAAGAUCAUUCCUGGCUCACCUUACUCACAGCUUUGAAUUGAAGAU
Microcebus murinus (gray mouse lemur) is the source of this 289-nucleotide non-coding RNA. NCBI's taxonomy places the organism in Eukaryota, Metazoa, Chordata, Mammalia, Primates, Cheirogaleidae. The record is from RefSeq and is a predicted model, not a curated record.